GAGGGUAGAGCUCAGUGGGAGAGCAUGUGCUUAGCAUGCACGAGGUCCUGGGCUCAACCCUAGUACCUCUG
This 71-nucleotide transfer RNA is filed under the name Camelus bactrianus (Bactrian camel). It matches the Rfam family "tRNA". From Rfam's summary of the family: Transfer RNA (tRNA) molecules are approximately 80 nucleotides in length. Their secondary structure includes four short double-helical elements and three loops (D, anti-codon, and T loops). RNAcentral also lists the same sequence under 2 other names. Lineage: Eukaryota; Metazoa; Chordata; Mammalia; Artiodactyla; Camelidae. The record is from Rfam by way of RNAcentral.